This 253-nucleotide ribosomal RNA is filed under the name uncultured bacterium. RNAcentral's name for it is "partial 16S ribosomal RNA". It matches the Rfam family "Bacterial small subunit ribosomal RNA", at positions 524 to 776 of the family's 1533-position model. The record is from RNAcentral.
UACGUAGGGGGCUAGCGUUGCUCGGAAUUACUGGGCGUAAAGGGCUCGUAGGCGGCCAACUAAGUCAUACGUGAAAUCCCUCGGCUUAACCGGGGAACUGCGUCUGAUACUGGAUGGCUUGAGUUCGGGAGAGGGAUGCGGAAUUCCAGGUGUAGCGGUGAAAUGCGUAGAUAUCUGGAGGAACACCGGUGGCGAAGGCGGCAUCCUGGACCGAUACUGACGCUGAGGAGCGAAAGCCAGGGGAGCAAACGGG